This 685-nucleotide long non-coding RNA is filed under the name Dasypus novemcinctus (nine-banded armadillo). Its description in RNAcentral is "lncRNA (ENSDNOG00000052290.1)". The record is from RNAcentral. Lineage: Eukaryota; Metazoa; Chordata; Mammalia; Cingulata; Dasypodidae.
CGCGCUCUGAUGGCUCCUUCCCGGGAUGUCUCCCGCCUGGAGCUGAGUUCAGGGAGGCGCAGGCCCUCGCCUCGGGCAGGGUCCCUGGUCGUGGAGUUGGACAAGUGGGCGCUUCCAGGAGGGGCUGAGGAGGCGCCAGGCCUCGGCGGGUCUUGGAAGGGUAGAACCACGGGAGGUGAAGAUCCCCGCUUGCAGCGCACGGAUGCCCACACCUCCAGCCGCUGGCCGGGAAGUAACAUCGAGAAACUAAAGCUCUGCAGGCUUCAUCUACCUUCUCCCUGAAUUUGGAGGAGCUCGCUUUCUCCAUUCAUUCUUUUAGCUCCCCCGUACCCAUUGCUGGCUUCCCGAGCAAAAGCAGGAGCCACCUUUUCCUCCUCCAGUGAUUUGCGUUACAUUAAGGAGCCACAAAGGUUAUGCAGGUUAUACCUGGUGAGCACCUAUGUGCCAGGAGAGUAUGCCAGGUGCUUUUACCCACAUGUCCUCAUUUACUUUUUUUAAAACAAAUCAUGUUUUUUUUAAAAUAAAGAUUUAUCUAUCUAUUUCCCCCCUUCCCUUCCUCCCACCCUGCUGUUUUUGCCAUCUGUGUUGUCUUCUCUUCUCAUUUUCUCUCCUCUAGGAUUCACCAGGAUUCAAUCCUGGGGACCUCUGAUGGGGAGAGAGGUUCCCUGUCAAUUGUGCCACCUCA